CCCUUAGAUGUUCUGGGCCGCACGCGCGCUACACUGAUCAGUGCAACAAGCAUCCGUCCUUGGCCGACAGGCCCGGGCAAUCUUUGAACGCUGAUCGUGAUGGGGAUAGACUUUUGCAAUUUUUGGUCUUCAACGAGGAAUUCCUAGUAAACGCAAGUCAUCAACUUGCAUUGAUUACGUCCCUGCCCUUUGUACACACCGCCCGUCGCACCUACCGAUUGAAUGGUCCGGUGAAGCGUUCGGACCGUGGCCUUUGGACGGUUCGCCGUCUGUUGGCUGCGGGAAGUUCGUUAAACCUUAUCAUUUAGAGGAAGGAGAAGUCGUAACA
This 328-nucleotide ribosomal RNA is filed under the name uncultured eukaryote. RNAcentral describes it as "partial 18S ribosomal RNA". It matches the Rfam family "Eukaryotic small subunit ribosomal RNA", at positions 1470 to 1796 of the family's 1831-position model. The record is from RNAcentral.